GACGAACGCUGGCGGCAUGCCUAAUACAUGCAAGUCGAGCGAACAGGUGAAGUGCUUGCACUUCUGACGUUAGCGGCGAACGGGUGAGUAACACGUAAGGAAUCUACCUAUAAGCGGGGGAUAACAUUCGGAAACGGGUGCUAAUACCGCAUAAUAUCUCCUUCCGCAUGGAAGAAGAUUGAAAGACGGCUCUGCUGUCACUUAUAGAUGACCUUGCGGUGCAUUAGUUAGUUGGUGGGGUAACGGCCUACCAAGACGAUGAUGCAUAGCCGACCUGAGAGGGUGAUCGGCCACAUUGGGACUGAGACACGGCCCAAACUCCUACGGGAGGCAGCAGUAGGGAAUCUUCCGCAAUGGGCGAAAGCCUGACGGAGCAAUGCCGCGUGAGUGAAGAAGGCCUUCGGGUCGUAAAACUCUGUUAUAAGAGAAGAACAAAUUGUAGAGUAACUGCUACAGUCUUGACGGUAUCUUAUCAGAAAGCCACGGCUAACUAC
This 494-nucleotide ribosomal RNA is filed under the name uncultured Bacillota bacterium. RNAcentral's name for it is "bacterial SSU rRNA". It matches the Rfam family "Bacterial small subunit ribosomal RNA", at positions 28 to 504 of the family's 1533-position model. The record is from RNAcentral. Lineage: Bacteria; Bacillati; Bacillota.